This 330-nucleotide unclassified non-coding RNA is filed under the name soil metagenome. Its description in RNAcentral is "partial contains 5.8S ribosomal RNA, internal transcribed spacer 2, and large subunit ribosomal RNA". The stretch from base 3 to 121 matches the Rfam family "5.8S ribosomal RNA", at positions 36 to 154 of the family's 154-position model. The record is from RNAcentral.
GAAUGAAGAACGCAGCGAAAUGCGAUAAGUAGUGUGAAUUGCAGAAUUCAGUGAAUCAUCGAAUCUUUGAACGCACAUUGCGCCCCUUGGUAUCCCGAGGGGCAUGCCUGUUCGAGCGUCAUUUCACCACUCAAGCCUGGCUUGGUGUUGGGCGACGUCCCCUUUGGGGACGCGCCUCGAAACGCUCGGCGGCGUGGCACCGGCUUUAAGCGUAGCAGAAUCUUUCGCUUUGGAAGUCGGGGCCCCGUCUGCCGGAAGACCUACUCGCAAGGUUGACCUCGGAUCAGGCAGGGAUACCCGCUGAACUUAAGCAUAUCAAUAAGCGGAGGA